This is a long non-coding RNA of Erigeron canadensis, 489 nucleotides long. RefSeq lists it as uncharacterized. The transcript is spliced from 3 exons. NCBI's taxonomy places the organism in Eukaryota, Viridiplantae, Streptophyta, Magnoliopsida, Asterales, Asteraceae. The record is from RefSeq and is a predicted model, not a curated record.
GUUGUUAAUUAAAUUGGUUGUAAUUCUUGCUCAAGUAGUUUUGUGUUUAUAACUUGGUUGGUUGUCUCUUGCUAUUUGGCUCAGUAGGUUAAGCUGUUAGUAGCACAGUUUACUCUGCUGAAUUGUCUCUUGCUAUUAUGUUGUGCGAAAGACUGUUUUUAGGCAUGACUUGUAUUUUGUGAUGUUGCAGUUGGUUGACUUUGUAGAUAGGACGGUGGAUAGGGAUCUUUCUCUUGUAAAAGAUCUGGGAUUGAAACCCGUAUAUGUUAUUGUACAUGUGCCUGCCGAUCAUGUCACAUGAACUGGGCUGAUCAAGAGUAAAGUUCCUGGUGUCGAAUCUAUCAUUUCAAAAGAAAGCAAAGCAUCAGUUGAUAUACUUGUUGAGGCCGGUGACAAAAUUCAAUUUAAAAAGUCCAACAAGCCUUUUUUGGUUUUGUUGCAGUCUGUUCUUGAGAAGGAAGGAACAGGAGAUUAUUUUGGAAAGACAGU